Molecule: small RNA, 885 nt
Filed under: Pongo abelii (Sumatran orangutan)
Lineage: Eukaryota; Metazoa; Chordata; Mammalia; Primates; Hominidae
Description: processed transcript
Source: RNAcentral
GCUGGGGCACCCUAAAUAGUCUGAGACCCCUGAAGGGGGCACAAGAGGAGGAAGGACAUGGACCAGUGUUUUCUUUCUUGAAGCUACUGUUACCACCCCUGGAAAAGUUCUUCAGGAAUAAGUGACAGUAAGAACGACAAGGGAUUAGGACUGGUUUCCUCUUAUAAAUAAUAAAAUCCAAAGGGAAGCCACUUGAGGUGAGUGGCAGAGCUACGCCUUGCACCCCGACCUUCCGUUGCUAGCUCCAGCUGCUUUCCAAAAUACCACCUUGACUUCUCAGCCUCCAGGUUUAAAGAAGAGCAACUAGAAGACGUCCAAACACCUGCAUCUCAUAAGGAGAAGAAAAGUCCACCUGGAUCUUGUUUCUGGACUGAGAUGGAUGGAGAGGCCACAGUGAAGCCCGGAGAACAAAAGGAAGUGGUGAGGAGAGGAACAGAAGUGGACUACUCCAGGCUCAUUGCUGGCACUUUACCACAAUCUCACGUUGCCAACAGGAGGGCAGGAUGGAAAAUGCCCCUCUUCCUCAUACUAUGCCUGCUACAAGGUUCUUCUUUCGCCCUUCCACAAAAAAGACCCCAUCCGAGAUGGCUGUGGGAGGGCUCUCUCCCCUCCAGGACCCAUCUCCGGGCCAUGGGAACACUCACGCCUUCCUCGCCCCUUUGCUGGCAGGAGGAGAGCUCCUUUGCAGCUCCAAAUGCAUUGAAGGGCUCAAGGCUGGUGUCAGGGGAGCCUGGAGGAGCUGUCACCAUCCAGUGCCAUUAUGCCCCCUCAUCUGUCAACAGGCACCAGAGGAAGUACUGGUGCCGUCUGGGGCCCCCAAGAUGGAUCUGCCAGACCAUUGUGUCCACCAACCACUACACUCACCAUCGCUAUCGUGACCGUGUG